This 292-nucleotide ribosomal RNA is filed under the name uncultured bacterium. RNAcentral describes it as "partial 16S ribosomal RNA". The record is from RNAcentral.
GGACUACACGGGUUUCUAAUCCCGUUCGCUACCCUGGCUUUCGUGUGUGAGCGUCAGAUGAGGGCCAGUGCGCUGCCUUCGCCUUUGGUGUUCCCCACGAUAUCAACGGAUUUCACCCCUACACCGUGAGUUCCACGCACCUCUCCCUACCUCUAGUCAUGCCGUUUCGCUCGCGGACCGUAGGUUGAGCCCACGGAUUUUACGAACGACUAACAUGACCGCCUUGACACCCUUUACGCCCAGUGAUUCCGGAUAAUGCUUGGGGCCUCUGUAUUACCGCGGCUGCUGGCAC